RNAcentral lists this ribosomal RNA (353 nucleotides) under Shigella flexneri. RNAcentral's name for it is "bacterial LSU rRNA". It matches the Rfam family "Bacterial large subunit ribosomal RNA", at positions 1972 to 2324 of the family's 2925-position model. Lineage: Bacteria; Pseudomonadati; Pseudomonadota; Gammaproteobacteria; Enterobacterales; Enterobacteriaceae. The record is from RNAcentral.
UCGGGUAAGUUCCGACCUGCACGAAUGGCGUAAUGAUGGCCAGGCUGUCUCCACCCGAGACUCAGUGAAAUUGAACUCGCUGUGAAGAUGCAGUGUACCCGCGGCAAGACGGAAAGACCCCGUGAACCUUUACUAUAGCUUGACACUGAACAUUGAGCCUUGAUGUGUAGGAUAGGUGGGAGGCUUUGAAGUGUGGACGCCAGUCUGCAUGGAGCCGACCUUGAAAUACCACCCUUUAAUGUUUGAUGUUCUAACGUGGACCCGUGAUCCGGGUUGCGGACAGUGUCUGGUGGGUAGUUUGACUGGGGCGGUCUCCUCCUAAAGAGUAACGGAGGAGCACGAAGGUUGGCUAA